This 116-nucleotide microRNA precursor is filed under the name Chlamydomonas reinhardtii. The record is from RNAcentral. Lineage: Eukaryota; Viridiplantae; Chlorophyta; Chlorophyceae; Chlamydomonadales; Chlamydomonadaceae.
CACUGUUUGCCAUUACCACCGCAUUUCCAAAUGAACUGACACACAUCGCGGCCGCAGCUGGGGGUCAGCUGCGGCCGCAGGUUCAUUUGGAAAUGCGGUGGUAAUGGCAAACAGAC